This is a non-coding RNA of Dipodomys ordii (Ord's kangaroo rat), 66 nucleotides long. Lineage: Eukaryota; Metazoa; Chordata; Mammalia; Rodentia; Heteromyidae. The record is from Rfam.
GGGAAGGUGGCUCAGUGGUAGAGCAUUUGCCUUGCAUGCUCAAGGCCCUGGGUUCGAUUCCUCAGC